Molecule: non-coding RNA, 224 nt
Organism: Pelobates cultripes (western spadefoot toad)
Lineage: Eukaryota; Metazoa; Chordata; Amphibia; Anura; Pelobatidae
Source: the annotation of a GenBank genome assembly
AACUACUAUAUUAAUCUGUAGUGGUUCUGAAGACUACAGUGUCCCUUUAAGUGUUGCAUAGAAAAUUAGUCACUCUUUGGCUCCUUAUGACAUUUUAAAUUCACAUUUCUAACACUAGAACUGUAUCCUUGCUUAUUAUUGUCUCAAAUCUCCAUCUCUGGCUGCCGUAUGUCAUCCCCAUUCCCACAGAUAUCAUAUGGGGAACUCUAGCAACCUCACUGGGC